This is a long non-coding RNA of Tupaia belangeri chinensis (Chinese tree shrew), 207 nucleotides long. RefSeq lists it as uncharacterized. Lineage: Eukaryota; Metazoa; Chordata; Mammalia; Scandentia; Tupaiidae. The record is from RefSeq and is a predicted model, not a curated record. The transcript has 3 exons.
CUGAGUGAAAUGGGAACUGAAUCUCGUGUUCUGACCCAAUUCCAGGUCUUCUUCCCUUCUCUUAGUAUGUUCAACGUGAGGUCAAAUUUUAAAAGUAAGCCAAUCGAAAGAAUAACACUUGAAGACUGGACAAAAUUCACAAAAAUGGUACUUCCUAGGAUCGAGACAUGGUUCUACUGGCAGCAUCACAGGACAGCAAGGAGACAG